Molecule: long non-coding RNA, 621 nt
Organism: Pseudophryne corroboree (corroboree frog)
Lineage: Eukaryota; Metazoa; Chordata; Amphibia; Anura; Myobatrachidae
Exons: 3
Source: RefSeq, a predicted model, not a curated record
CUCCUAGAACAUAUCUUUAUGGUCUGACUAGUCCUCACAUUUCAGAUGUGAAGGCGUUUAUAUACCAGUGAUUCUUGAAAUGAGUGGUAUCUGAGUUUAGGCCCUCCCUUUUUGUAUACCUUUCACCAUGAUAAGGUGAGACACUAACAAAUGCUAAUUAACUCAUUAGGUCCUCCAUGUGUGCAUGAAGUUGCCGAUUCCUCUUUUUUUUUCAUACGAAUGCUUCCCUUUUGAGCUCUUCGUAAUCUGAGUUACCAGAUUCACGAGGCUGACUUUAUGCCCUUAUUUCACGCCUCAUUGAUGUUUGGAAGCCCACGUAUGAACCUAUUCGGCCAAUGAUCUAGGCCUAUCACUCUUUUGGAUAGACAUUAUUAUCUAAGACGCACCCCUGAUGAAGUCUAGUUCCUAGACGAAACGCGUUGGGUUACUGUAUUUCUUGUUGAUGUUAUCUCCGAAUAUUUAAUGAGGAAGAAUAAGGAUACAACAGAAAGGUUGCCUUCUUUCCUCCAUAUCCCAUUGAUGGAUUUCUGUAGGAGAAACUACAUCAUAAUGUACAUGUAAUAAUGAUGGAUAUACUUCAUGUUUCUGUAUAAUUGUUUUAAUAAAUUUUUAUGAAAAGUA